CCUACGGGGGGCAGCAGUAGGGAAUAUUGCUCAAUGGGGGAAACCCUGAAGCAGCAACGCCGCGUGGAGGAUGAAGGUUUUCGGAUUGUAAACUCCUUUUGUUAGAGAAGAUAAUGACGGUAUCUAACGAAUAAGCACCGGCUAACUCCGUGCCAGCAGCCGCGGUAAUACGGAGGGUGCAAGCGUUACUCGGAAUCACUGGGCGUAAAGAGCGCGUAGGCGGGAUAGCAAGUCAGAUGUGAAAUCCUAUGGCUUAACCAUAGAACUGCAUUUGAAACUGUUAUUCUAGAGUAUGGGAGAGGUAGGCGGAAUUCGUGGUGUAGGGGUAAAAUGCGUAGAGAUGAAGAAGAAUACUGAUUGCGAAGGCGACCUGCUAGAACAUAACUGACGCUGAUGCGCGAAAGCGUGGGGAGCAAACAGGAUUAGAUACCCGUGUAGUC
RNAcentral lists this ribosomal RNA (440 nucleotides) under uncultured bacterium. RNAcentral's name for it is "partial 16S ribosomal RNA". It matches the Rfam family "Bacterial small subunit ribosomal RNA", at positions 338 to 795 of the family's 1533-position model. The record is from RNAcentral.